RNAcentral lists this ribosomal RNA (254 nucleotides) under uncultured bacterium. Its description in RNAcentral is "partial 16S ribosomal RNA". It matches the Rfam family "Bacterial small subunit ribosomal RNA", at positions 524 to 776 of the family's 1533-position model. The record is from RNAcentral.
UACGAAGGGGGGCUAAGCGUUGCUCGGAAUGACUGGGCGUAAAGGGCGCGUAGGCGGAUGGCACAGUCAGAUGUGAAAUUCCCGGGCUUAACCUGGGGGCUGCAUUUGAUACGUGUUGUCUAGAGUGAGGAAGAGGGUUGUGGAAUUCCCAGUGUAGAGGUGAAAUUCGUAGAUAUUGGAAGAACACCGGUGGCGAAGGCGGCAACCUGGUCCUUGACUGACGCUGAGGCGCGAAAGCGUGGGGAGCAAACAGG